CCUCAGGUGUGCUGUGUUUUGUGGAGUUCUGCUGGUGCAAAACCACUUCCUUAAGAGAUUGCUCCCUGCUCCUCUUUGGGGAUUCUGCAACUUGUAGACUGCAGCUUGGCAGCCUCUCCAGAAAAAAGCAGAGAACCAAUUGAGUUGUUCCUUUUAUCUCUGACCAUGGGAGGUAUCUUUGGCAAGAACAAGAGGUCCUGUGUGCUUCCUAAAAGAGUUAUCUUCCGUAAGGCCAAAGGGGAAAAGGCAUCAAGGACUGUUCACAUGUUCUGUGAUGCAUCAACAUGGACUGGGGAGAACCAUUUUUAUUCAGCAAGGAUAGGAAGGACUCCAAAGGGCCCUGAACCUGCUGCUACAAAAAUGGUGUUGGCCACUCCUAGGAGUGAAUGUGUUGCCCAAGAUGAACAGGAGGCAGGCAAUCAGGCUGCAUCUCUGCAGGCACAACAUGCUGAGGCUUCGCUCUCCACAACUGUCAGAGACGUGCAAGAUGUUGAGGUGCCAGAGGACUCGGAAGCCAAAGCUAGCAGAGAGGUCGUGCAGCAUCAGGAACUCACUGAACAGAGAAGACAAGAAGCUCAGUCUGCUAGGAGAAGCCUACAAGAGAACAGCAAGACUGAAGCUGUUGGAUAUCCUACUGGCAGAUGUACCAAGCAGCCCAGUUGUGAGGACCAUGAAGUGGCAGUUCUUACACAGACCAUGGUGAAGGCUGAAGUCCAUGUGUCUGCAGAUGUCCAAGGUGGACUUGGCAAGCUUGAGUCAGCUGCAGCAGAGUCUGAGCUGCUGGCUGGAGCAGAACAAGAGGCUAGAGUUCUGUGGGAUUCAGAGGAAGCUUGUCUUGGGAGGACACAUCAGGAAGCAGCUGUGCAGAAGGCAGUUGACUGUUCAGCUGCUUUGUGUACCACGGAGUCCGACCUGCCUUUGAAGACUACAGAGACAAGAGGGGGCAUUACAAAUGUGCAGAGACAUGCAGAAGAGCAAGCAGUAGAAGAGAAAGAAUGUUUUGUUACCAAAGCCCCACCUGAUUUCCAGCUGGAAGAAGAUAUAAAGGUUCCCAUUCCUGAAGAUCAGGGAGAAAAUGCUUCUGAACUGGAGCAAGCUGAAGAAAUGGCUGAGGUCUGUGAUGAUGGGCAGACAUCAAACACAACCCCAGGCUGCCUGGUAGGAACCCAGGCUGCUCUGCAGGACAAGGAGGAGAUCAAAGCUAGCAGAGCAGGGGAGCUCUGAGGGAGAACAGUAAGUCUGGAGCAGCAACCACGGAGCAGGUUGGUGGUUUGUCUGCAGCCAUGUGACCAACCUGCUGCAGUCCUCCUGUAAGGGACUCAGAUGUCGAUAGGUGCUCGGACCCAGGGGUCAGUGCAUUGGGAAGUGCUGCUAAGCUUAAAGCUGAUGUAUGGCCUCCAAGUGGCACUGACUUCUCUCCUGAGGGGAUGGGCGUGAGCUGUGCAACUCAGAGCAAAAAGUGCAUCAUAAAGAUGAUUUUCCUUUUCCUUUCUCCACCUGCACACACACACCCUGGCUACAGCCAUGCGCUUCAUCACCUCCCUGUGUGUGACUGUACAGGGUUAAGUCUUCUCUGCCAAAAGAAGCCAGCUGUAUCUAUGGCACUUGUCUGUACACUCUACUCUGUCACUGCUGGGGGGAUGCUCUGUGGAUUGGGAAGUCUGUGUUGCAAAUGGAAUCAAUAAAUGUGUGCAUUUUA
Long non-coding RNA from Pogoniulus pusillus (Red-fronted tinkerbird), 1699 nucleotides. RefSeq lists it as uncharacterized. The transcript has 2 exons. The record is from RefSeq and is a predicted model, not a curated record. Lineage: Eukaryota; Metazoa; Chordata; Aves; Piciformes; Lybiidae.